This 407-nucleotide ribosomal RNA is filed under the name uncultured bacterium. Its description in RNAcentral is "partial 16S ribosomal RNA". It matches the Rfam family "Bacterial small subunit ribosomal RNA", at positions 34 to 526 of the family's 1533-position model. The record is from RNAcentral.
CUUGCCCGCUGGCGGCAGGCCUAACACAUGCAAGUCGAGCGGAGCGGCGGACGGGUGAGUAAUACCAAGGAAUCUGCCUGGUAGUGGGGGAUAACGUUCGGAAACGGAAGCUAAUAACGCAUACUAUCAGAUGAGCCUUGGUCGGAUUAGCUAGUUGGUGAGGUAAUGGCUUACCAAGGCUACGAUCCGUAACUGGUCUGAGAGGCUGAUCGGUCAAACUGGACCUGAGACACGGUCCAGACUCCUACGGGAGACAUCAGUGGGGACUAUUUGGCAAUGGGCGAAAUCCUGAUCCAGCCAUGCCGCGUGAGUGAAGAAGGUCUUCGGAUUGUAAAACACUUUAAUUUGGGUAGCGGUACCGACAUAAUAAGCCCCGGCUAACUCCGUGCCAGCAGCCGCGGUAAUAC